This 274-nucleotide ribosomal RNA is filed under the name uncultured bacterium. RNAcentral describes it as "partial 16S ribosomal RNA". It matches the Rfam family "Bacterial small subunit ribosomal RNA", at positions 523 to 796 of the family's 1533-position model. The record is from RNAcentral.
AUACGGAGGGUGCAAGCGUUACUCGGAAUCACUGGGCGUAAAGGAUGCGUAGGCUGGAUGUCAAGUUGGAAGUGAAAUCCUAUGGCUUAACCAUAGAACUGCUUCCAAAACUGGCAACCUAGAGUGAGGGAGAGGCAGAUGGAAUUAGUGGUGUAGGGGUAAAAUCCGUAGAUAUCACUAGGAAUACCGAUUGCGAAGGCGAUCUGCUAGAACUCUACUGACGCUAAGGCAUGAAAGCGUGGGGAGCAAACAGGAUUAGAAACCCCGGUAGUCC